This 74-nucleotide transfer RNA is filed under the name Podarcis lilfordi (Lilford's wall lizard). RNAcentral describes it as "tRNA.Lys". The stretch from base 9 to 66 matches the Rfam family "tRNA", at positions 8 to 63 of the family's 71-position model. From Rfam's summary of the family: Transfer RNA (tRNA) molecules are approximately 80 nucleotides in length. The record is from RNAcentral. Lineage: Eukaryota; Metazoa; Chordata; Lepidosauria; Squamata; Lacertidae.
GCCUCCUGUAGCUCAGUCAGUAGAGCAUGAGACUCUUAACCCCAGGGUUGUGGGUUCAAGUCCCAUGUUGGGCA